AGUUUGAUCCUGGCUCAGAGCGAACGUUAGCGGCGCGCCUAACACAUGCAAGUCGCACGAGAAAGGGGGCAACCCCCGGUACAGUGGCGCACGGGUGAGUAACACGUGGGUGAUCUGCCCAGAAGAAGGGGAUAACCUCUCGAAAGGGGGGCUAAUACCGCAUAGGACCACCGGGGCUCUGGCUCUGUGGUGAAAGGGGGCCUCUGUUUACAAGCUCCUGCUUCUGGAUGAGCCCCGCGUCCCAUCAGCUAGUUGGUAGGGUAAUGGCCUACCAAGGCUACGACGGGUAGCUGGUCUAAGAGGAUGGCCAGCCACACUGGAACUGAGACACGGUCCAGACUCCUACGGGAGGCAGCAGUGGGGAAUCUUGCGCAAUGGCGAAAGCCUGACGCAGCGACGCCGCGUGGGUGACGAAGGCCUC
Molecule: ribosomal RNA, 421 nt
Filed under: uncultured bacterium
Lineage: Bacteria
Description: bacterial SSU rRNA
Rfam family: Bacterial small subunit ribosomal RNA
Source: RNAcentral